RNAcentral lists this ribosomal RNA (120 nucleotides) under Escherichia coli LF82. Lineage: Bacteria; Pseudomonadati; Pseudomonadota; Gammaproteobacteria; Enterobacterales; Enterobacteriaceae. The record is from RNAcentral.
UGUCUGGCGGCAGUAGCGCGGUGGUCCCACCUGACCCCAUGCCGAACUCAGAAGUGAAACGCCGUAGCGCCGAUGGUAGUGUGGGGUCUCCCCAUGUGAGAGUAGGGAACUGCCAGACAU